This 408-nucleotide ribosomal RNA is filed under the name uncultured bacterium. RNAcentral's name for it is "bacterial SSU rRNA". It matches the Rfam family "Bacterial small subunit ribosomal RNA", at positions 355 to 775 of the family's 1533-position model. The record is from RNAcentral.
UGGGGAAUAUUGCACAAUGGGCGGAAGCCUGAUGCAGCGACGCCGCGUGAGGGAUGACGGCCUUCGGGUUGUAAACCUCUUUCGACAGGGACGAAGCGCAAGUGACGGUACCUGUAGAAGAAGCACCGGCCAACUACGUGCCAGCAGCCGCGGUAAUACGUAGGGUGCGAGCGUUGUCCGGAAUUACUGGGCGUAAAGAGCUUGUAGGCGGUCUGUCGCGUCGUCCGUGAAAACUUGGGGCUCAACCCCAAGCUUGCGGGCGAUACGGGCAGACUUGAGUACUUCAGGGGAGACUGGAAUUCCUGGUGUAGCGGUGAAAUGCGCAGAUAUCAGGAGGAACACCGGUGGCGAAGGCGGGUCUCUGGGAAGUAACUGACGCUGAGAAGCGAAAGCGUGGGUAGCAAACAG